UCUUAGCUUGCUAAGGCUGAUGGCGACCGGCGCACGGGUGAGUAACACGUAUCCAACUUGCCGUCUACUCUUGGCCAGCCUUCUGAAAGGAAGAUUAAUCCAGGAUGGGAUCAUGAGUUCAUAUGUCCGCAUGAUUAAAGGUAUUUUCCGGUAGACGAUGGGGAUGCGUUCCAUUAGAUAGUAGGCGGGGUAACGGCCCACCUAGUCAACGAUGGAUAGGGGUUCUGAGAGGAAGGUCCCCCACAUUGGAACUGAGACACGGUCCAAACUCCUACGGGAGGCAGCAGUGAGGAAUAUUGGUCAAUGGGCGAUGGCCUGAACCAGCCAAGUAGCGUGAAGGAUGACUGCCCUAUGGGUUGUAAACUUCUUUUAUAAAGGAAUAAAGUCGGGUAUGCAUACCCGUUUGCAUGUACUUUAUGAAUAAGGAUCGGCUAACUCCGUGCCAGCAGCCGCGGUAAUACGGAGGAUCCGAGCGUUAUCCGGAUUUAUUGGGUUUA
Molecule: ribosomal RNA, 497 nt
Filed under: uncultured Bacteroides sp.
Lineage: Bacteria; Pseudomonadati; Bacteroidota; Bacteroidia; Bacteroidales; Bacteroidaceae
Description: bacterial SSU rRNA
Rfam family: Bacterial small subunit ribosomal RNA
Source: RNAcentral